Molecule: long non-coding RNA, 279 nt
Organism: Ictalurus punctatus (channel catfish)
Lineage: Eukaryota; Metazoa; Chordata; Actinopteri; Siluriformes; Ictaluridae
Source: Ensembl
CAAAGGUCGGCGUGAGGAGGCGCGCGCGCACUCCAGUUAUCUGUCACCACCGGCGGCACGUGCGGCUUGGGCAGCGGCUGAUAAAUAUCUUGCGCAGGCGCCGUUUAGGGGCUCGUGGGAGUUUUAUAAUGCAGUAACACCGGAAUAUUUCGGCUACACGGGAACACAAACCGGAGGGAUUACUGUCCUCGUGCUCAUCCCGGUGGAAAGCGCGAGACUGAGGAAACUGACGGACUUACAGCUUGAAACUCCAGAAUCUGAACCGUUCACCAAAAUCAG